This 298-nucleotide long non-coding RNA is filed under the name Manihot esculenta (cassava). RNAcentral's name for it is "long non-coding RNA (MESC_LNC003496)". Lineage: Eukaryota; Viridiplantae; Streptophyta; Magnoliopsida; Malpighiales; Euphorbiaceae. The record is from RNAcentral.
GAGGCACGUCGGAUUUCUCCAGCUUUGCCCCAUAUCCACCCUACAUGCCAUAUAUGCCCUAUCCUUCCUUCUAUCCACCAUAUCACAUGUAUCCACCCCCACCUGUUCAUCCAAGUCCAGUACAGCCUGAAUCCAGAGAAACAGUACCUCCACCACCACCACCUGAACCAGUAGCCCCGGUUGUUGAAGCACAACCCAGUUCUUCAGGGGGCAAUAAGGUGAAGAUGACGGAGUACUUAAAGUUGGAUGCUCCUAAAUUCAAUACGGGAGAUGAUCCCUUUGAGUAUCUCAGUGCAGU